Molecule: transfer RNA, 73 nt
Filed under: Candidatus Niyogiibacteriota bacterium
Lineage: Bacteria; Candidatus Niyogiibacteriota
Description: Candidatus Niyogibacteria bacterium tRNA-Phe
Rfam family: tRNA
About the family: Transfer RNA (tRNA) molecules are approximately 80 nucleotides in length.
Source: RNAcentral
GCCUGGGUAGCUCAGUGGUUAGAGCGCUGCCCUGAAGAGGCAGGCGUCGGGGGUUCGAUUCCCUCCCCAGGCA